RNAcentral lists this ribosomal RNA (476 nucleotides) under uncultured crenarchaeote. RNAcentral's name for it is "bacterial SSU rRNA". It matches the Rfam family "Archaeal small subunit ribosomal RNA", at positions 53 to 534 of the family's 1478-position model. The record is from RNAcentral. Lineage: Archaea; Thermoproteati; Thermoproteota.
GCGAGUCAUUGUAGUAAUACAAGGCAGACGGCUCACUAACGCGUAGUCAACCUAACCUAUGGACGGGAAUAACCUCGGGAAACUGAGUAUAAUGCCCGAUAGAACAUUAUGCCUGGAAUGGUUUAUGUUCCAAAUGAUUUAUCGCCGUAGGAUGGGACUGCGGCCUAUCAGUUUGUUGGUGAGGUAAUGGCCCACCAAGACUAUUACAGGUACGGGCUCUGAGAGGAGUAGCCCGGAGAUGGGUACUGAGACACGGACCCAGGCCCUAUGGGGCGCAGCAGGCGAGAAAACUUUGCAAUGUGCGAAAGCACGACAAGGUUAAUCCGAGUGGUUUCUGCUAAAGGAACCUUUUGUCGGUCCUAGAAACACCGAUGAAUAAGGGGUGGGCAAGUUCUGGUGUCAGCCGCCGCGGUAAAACCAGCACCUCAAGUGGUCAGGAUGAUUAUUGGGCCUAAAGCAUCCGUAGCCGGCUCUGU